Molecule: ribosomal RNA, 2822 nt
Filed under: Klebsiella pneumoniae
Lineage: Bacteria; Pseudomonadati; Pseudomonadota; Gammaproteobacteria; Enterobacterales; Enterobacteriaceae
Description: bacterial LSU rRNA
Rfam family: Bacterial large subunit ribosomal RNA
Source: RNAcentral
GUAAGGUGAUAUGAACCGUUAUAGCCGGCGAUGUCCGAAUGGGGAAACCCAGUGUGAUUCGUCACACUAUCGUUAACUGAAUACAUAGGUUAACGAGGCGAACCGGGGGAACUGAAACAUCUAAGUACCCCGAGGAAAAGAAAUCAACCGAGAUUCCCCCAGUAGCGGCGAGCGAACGGGGAGCAGCCCAGAGUCUGAAUCAGCUUGUGUGUUAGUGGAACGGUCUGGAAAGUCCGACGGUACAGGGUGAUAGUCCCGUACACCAAAAUGCACAGGCUGUGAACUCGAAGAGUAGGGCGGGACACGUGGUAUCCUGUCUGAAUAUGGGGGGACCAUCCUCCAAGGCUAAAUACUCCUGACUGACCGAUAGUGAACCAGUACCGUGAGGGAAAGGCGAAAAGAACCCCGGCGAGGGGAGUGAAAAAGAACCUGAAACCGUGUACGUACAAGCAGUGGGAGCACCUUCGGGUGUGACUGCGUACCUUUUGUAUAAUGGGUCAGCGACUUAUAUUCUGUAGCAAGGUUAACCGUAUAGGGGAGCCGCAGGGAAACCGAGUCUUAACUGGGCGUUAAGUUGCAGGGUAUAGACCCGAAACCCGGUGAUCUAGCCAUGGGCAGGUUGAAGGUUGGGUAACACUAACUGGAGGACCGAACCGACUAAUGUUGAAAAAUUAGCGGAUGACUUGUGGCUGGGGGUGAAAGGCCAAUCAAACCGGGAGAUAGCUGGUUCUCCCCGAAAGCUAUUUAGGUAGCGCCUCGUGAACUCAUCUUCGGGGGUAGAGCACUGUUUCGGCUAGGGGGUCAUCCCGACUUACCAACCCGAUGCAAACUACGAAUACCGAAGAAUGUUAUCACGGGAGACACACGGCGGGUGCUAACGUCCGUCGUGAAGAGGGAAACAACCCAGACCGCCAGCUAAGGUCCCAAAGUCAUGGUUAAGUGGGAAACGAUGUGGGAAGGCACAGACAGCCAGGAUGUUGGCUUAGAAGCAGCCAUCAUUUAAAGAAAGCGUAAUAGCUCACUGGUCGAGUCGGCCUGCGCGGAAGAUGUAACGGGGCUAAACCAUGCACCGAAGCUGCGGCAGCGACACUAUGUGUUGUUGGGUAGGGGAGCGUUCUGUAAGCCUGCGAAGGUGACCUGUGAGGGUUGCUGGAGGUAUCAGAAGUGCGAAUGCUGACAUAAGUAACGAUAAAGCGGGUGAAAAGCCCGCUCGCCGGAAGACCAAGGGUUCCUGUCCAACGUUAAUCGGGGCAGGGUGAGUCGACCCCUAAGGCGAGGCCGAAAGGCGUAGUCGAUGGGAAACAGGUUAAUAUUCCUGUACUUGGUGUUACUGCGAAGGGGGGACGGAGAAGGCUAUGUUAGCCGGGCGACGGUUGUCCCGGUUUAAGCAUGUAGGCUGGUUGUCCAGGCAAAUCCGGAUAAUCAAGGCUGAGGUGUGAUGACGAGGCACUACGGUGCUGAAGUAACAAAUGCCCUGCUUCCAGGAAAAGCCUCUAAGCAUCAGGUAACAUCAAAUCGUACCCCAAACCGACACAGGUGGUCAGGUAGAGAAUACCAAGGCGCUUGAGAGAACUCGGGUGAAGGAACUAGGCAAAAUGGUGCCGUAACUUCGGGAGAAGGCACGCUGGUGUGUAGGUGAAGUCCCUGCGGAUGGAGCUGAGACCAGUCGAAGAUACCAGCUGGCUGCAACUGUUUAUUAAAAACACAGCACUGUGCAAACACGAAAGUGGACGUAUACGGUGUGACGCCUGCCCGGUGCCGGAAGGUUAAUUGAUGGGGUUAUCCGUAAGGAGAAGCUCUUGAUCGAAGCCCCGGUAAACGGCGGCCGUAACUAUAACGGUCCUAAGGUAGCGAAAUUCCUUGUCGGGUAAGUUCCGACCUGCACGAAUGGCGUAAUGAUGGCCAGGCUGUCUCCACCCGAGACUCAGUGAAAUUGAACUCGCUGUGAAGAUGCAGUGUACCCGCGGCAAGACGGAAAGACCCCGUGAACCUUUACUAUAGCUUGACACUGAACAUUGAGCCUUGAUGUGUAGGAUAGGUGGGAGGCUUUGAAGCGUGGACGCCAGUCUGCGUGGAGCCAACCUUGAAAUACCACCCUUUAAUGUUUGAUGUUCUAACGUUGGCCCCUUACCGGGGUUGCGGACAGUGUCUGGUGGGUAGUUUGACUGGGGCGGUCUCCUCCCAAAGCGUAACGGAGGAGCACGAAGGUUAGCUAAUCCUGGUCGGACAUCAGGAGGUUAGUGCAAUGGCAUAAGCUAGCUUGACUGCGAGCGUGACGGCGCGAGCAGGUGCGAAAGCAGGUCAUAGUGAUCCGGUGGUUCUGAAUGGAAGGGCCAUCGCUCAACGGAUAAAAGGUACUCCGGGGAUAACAGGCUGAUACCGCCCAAGAGUUCAUAUCGACGGCGGUGUUUGGCACCUCGAUGUCGGCUCAUCACAUCCUGGGGCUGAAGUAGGUCCCAAGGGUAUGGCUGUUCGCCAUUUAAAGUGGUACGCGAGCUGGGUUUAGAACGUCGUGAGACAGUUCGGUCCCUAUCUGCCGUGGGCGCUGGAGAAUUGAGGGGGGCUGCUCCUAGUACGAGAGGACCGGAGUGGACGCAUCACUGGUGUUCGGGUUGUCAUGCCAAUGGCACUGCCCGGUAGCUAAAUGCGGAAGAGAUAAGUGCUGAAAGCAUCUAAGCACGAAACUUGCCCCGAGAUGAGUUCUCCCUGAGACUUUAAGUCUCCUGAAGGAACGUUAAAGACGAUGACGUUGAUAGGCCGGGUGUGUAAGCGCAGCGAUGCGUUGAGCUAACCGGUACUAAUGAACCGUGAGGCUUAACCUU